Molecule: small nuclear RNA, 23 nt
Filed under: Arabidopsis thaliana (thale cress)
Lineage: Eukaryota; Viridiplantae; Streptophyta; Magnoliopsida; Brassicales; Brassicaceae
Description: snRNA_08844
Source: RNAcentral
GCCGCCUUCGUGGCGUACUGCGA